CCUACGGGAGGCUGCAGUGAGGAAUAUUGGUCAAUGGCCGUAAGGCUGAACCAGCCAAGUAGCGUGAGGGAAGACUGCCCUAUGGGUUGUAAACCUCUUUUAUGCGGGGAUAAAGGUGUCCACGUGUGGCUGUUUGCAGGUACCGCAUGAAUAAGGACGGGCUAAUUCCGUGCCAGCAGCCGCGGUAAUCCGGAAGGUCCGGGCGUUAUCCAGAUUUAUUGGGUUUAAAGGGAGCGUAGGCCGGUCUUUAAGCGUGCCGUGAAAUUUUGUGGCACAAGCAUGAGAGUGCCGCGCGAACUGGAGACCUUGAGUGCGCGGGAGGCAGGCGGAAUGCGUGGUGUAGCGGUGAAAUGCUUAGAUAUCACGAAGAACCCCGAUUGCGAAGGCAGCCUGCCGCAGCGUUACUGACGCUGAAGCUCGAAAGCGCGGGUAUCGAACAGGAUUAGAUACCCGUGUAGUC
Molecule: ribosomal RNA, 460 nt
Filed under: uncultured bacterium
Lineage: Bacteria
Description: partial 16S ribosomal RNA
Rfam family: Bacterial small subunit ribosomal RNA
Source: RNAcentral